AAUAAGCGGAGGAAAAGAAACUUAACAAGGAUUCCCCUAGUAACGGCGAGUGAAGAGGGAAAAGCUCAAAUUUAAAAUCUGGCGGUCUUCGGCCGUCCGAGUUGUAGUUUAGAGAGGUGUCUUCCGCGUCGGACCACACACAAGUCCCUUGGGAUAGGGCUUCAUAGAGGGUGAGAAUCCCGUACAUGGUGUGGACUACCGGGGCUAUGUGAUGCACCCUCAAAGAGUCGAGUUGUUUGGGAAUGCAGCUCAAAAUGGGUGGUAAAUUCCAUCUAAAGCUAAAUAUUGGGGAGAGACCGAUAGCGCACAAGUACCGUGAGGGAAAGGUGAAAAGCACUUUGGAAAGAGAGUUAAACAGUACGUGAAAUUGCUGAAAGGGAAACGCUUGGAGUCAGUCGCGUCUGCCGAGACUCAGCCACGGUUCUCCGCGGUGUACUUCUCGGUAGAUGGGCCAGCAUCGAUUUUGUCUGCCGUACAAAGGUCGGAGGAAUGUGGCAUCUCUCGGGAUGUGUUAUAGCCUUCGAUUGUAUGCGGUGGGUGGGAUCGAGGAACGCAGCGCGCCCGCAAGGGUCGGGAUUCGUCCACGUACGCGCUAUGGAUGCUGGCGUAAUGGCUUUAAGCGACCCGUCUUGAA
This 634-nucleotide ribosomal RNA is filed under the name Myxarium everhartioides. RNAcentral's name for it is "eukaryotic LSU rRNA". It matches the Rfam family "Eukaryotic large subunit ribosomal RNA", at positions 45 to 658 of the family's 3401-position model. The record is from RNAcentral. Lineage: Eukaryota; Fungi; Basidiomycota; Agaricomycetes; Auriculariales; Hyaloriaceae.